This 253-nucleotide ribosomal RNA is filed under the name uncultured bacterium. RNAcentral describes it as "partial 16S ribosomal RNA". It matches the Rfam family "Bacterial small subunit ribosomal RNA", at positions 524 to 776 of the family's 1533-position model. The record is from RNAcentral.
UACGAACCGUCCUAACGUUGUUCGGAAUCACUGGGCUUAAAGGGCGCGUAGGCGGGCAGCCAAGUCUGAGGUGAAAUCUUUCGGCUUAACCGGAAAAUAGCCUUGGAUACUGGCAGUCUCGAGGGAGGUAGGGGCAUGUGGAACUUCCGGUGGAGCGGUGAAAUGCGUUGAUAUCGGAAGGAACGCCGGUGGCGAAAGCGACGUGCUGGACCUCUACUGACGCUGAGGCGCGAAAGCCAGGGGAGCAAACGGG